GUCCUAGCCGUAAACGUUGGGUGCUAGGUGUGGGGGGACAUCGACCCCCUCCGUGCCGAAGCUAACGCAUUAAGCACCCCGCCUGGGGGAGUACGGCCGCAAGGCUAAAAACUCAAAGGAAUUGACGGGGCCCCCGCACAAGCGGCGGAGCAUGUUGCUUAAUUCGAUGCGACGCGAAGAACCUUACCUGGGCUUGACAUGCAGGGUGAAACCCGUGAAAGCGGGCGCUCUUCGGAGCCUGCACAGGUGGUGCAUGGCUGUCGU
Molecule: ribosomal RNA, 264 nt
Filed under: uncultured bacterium
Lineage: Bacteria
Description: partial 16S ribosomal RNA
Rfam family: Bacterial small subunit ribosomal RNA
Source: RNAcentral